UACAACGUAAAUGCACCACCCACUUUGA
This 28-nucleotide non-coding RNA is filed under the name Bombyx mori (domestic silkworm). Lineage: Eukaryota; Metazoa; Arthropoda; Insecta; Lepidoptera; Bombycidae. The record is from RNAcentral.